AAUGGAUAAAGAAAAGGGCCUUCUGAAGUGCAAGUUCAGUUUCAAAGCCCUUCCAGAUGGUUCUCUCGACAAGACUGAAGUUAUUAACCUGACUCCGCCAGAUGGAUCCCUUCGCGUUUGCUCGGCAUAUCCAUCUGGGGACUUUCUGUUGGAGAACUUUGAAUAAACCAUCUCUCUAUAACCACCUCUGUUGGUGAUAGACAGGCCAAAUCAACCAAUCAGAUGACGUAUGACGUUCUUACAGAGUGACGACGACAAUACAACCACAAGUCAGGAUACCCCUGCGGCAAAGCAUAGCUCAGCAAGUCGAGCAACAUGUCGGUAAAGGAUAUUUGCCGUUAGUGUAACAAGAAUUUAUGAAUGAAAGGGACCAUUUCAGGUUCCCGGUCCAUAUUCCAAAAGAAGGAUCCCAAAGAAAAAAGCAUUAGUGAGCGGCUAACAGAAUUAGGGCUACCUCUGUCUGAAAAUCCUGGUUAGCUGUGGAUAAACUACACCACCUA
Molecule: long non-coding RNA, 500 nt
Organism: Etheostoma spectabile (orangethroat darter)
Lineage: Eukaryota; Metazoa; Chordata; Actinopteri; Perciformes; Percidae
Exons: 5
Source: RefSeq, a predicted model, not a curated record